AGGGAUUUAGCUCAGUGGCACAGCAUCUGCCUGGCAAGUGGAAGGUACUGAGUUCAAUCCCUG
RNAcentral lists this transfer RNA (63 nucleotides) under Fukomys damarensis (Damara mole-rat). It matches the Rfam family "tRNA". Rfam says of the family: Transfer RNA (tRNA) molecules are approximately 80 nucleotides in length. Lineage: Eukaryota; Metazoa; Chordata; Mammalia; Rodentia; Bathyergidae. The record is from Rfam by way of RNAcentral.